This 60-nucleotide transfer RNA is filed under the name pig gut metagenome. It matches the Rfam family "tRNA", at positions 11 to 69 of the family's 71-position model. From Rfam's summary of the family: Transfer RNA (tRNA) molecules are approximately 80 nucleotides in length. Their secondary structure includes four short double-helical elements and three loops (D, anti-codon, and T loops). The record is from RNAcentral.
UCCAAUGGUAGAGCAGCUGCCUUGUAAGCAGACGGUUGGGGGUUCGAGUCCCUCCACUGG